RNAcentral lists this small RNA (164 nucleotides) under Lachnoclostridium sp. An14. RNAcentral describes it as "Clostridiales-1 RNA". It matches the Rfam family "Clostridiales-1 RNA". The record is from Rfam by way of RNAcentral. Lineage: Bacteria; Bacillati; Bacillota; Clostridia; Lachnospirales; Lachnospiraceae.
AGAUACCAGGGACAAAAAGCCGGACGUCCGGCGCGGGCUUGCCGGCCGGGGCGGUUUCGGUUUUCUGGCCCGCCAAAACAAGAACAGGCAGCCGGUUUCAAAAAGGGCGGACGGUUUCCGUUUUGGGACUGCAGGGGCGCGCGGCGCGAAACAAUCUGGUAUCC